This 196-nucleotide microRNA precursor is filed under the name Theobroma cacao (cacao). RNAcentral's name for it is "pre miRNA MIR159". It matches the Rfam family "MIR159 microRNA precursor family". The record is from Rfam by way of RNAcentral. Lineage: Eukaryota; Viridiplantae; Streptophyta; Magnoliopsida; Malvales; Malvaceae.
GUGUUCGGAGUGGAGCUCCUUGAAGUCCAAUAGAGGUUCUUGCAGGGUAUAUUGAGCUGCUGAGCUAUGGAUCCCACAGCCCUAUCCCUUCUUUGAGAGGUUUUCCGGGAUAGGCUUGCGGCUUGCAUAUCUCAGGAGCUGCAUUACCUUAGUCAGAUCCUUGUUUGGAUUGAAGGGAGCUCUACACCUCUCUCCU